CCGCAAGUGGAGACUCGGUCAACGACCAUUUAACUGAACUUGCCUUGCGCGCGAUCCGACAUUAUCACCGGAGAUUCUGCGUCUUGUGACCUUUGUCUCUCCGCCGUCCAUAUUUUCAUUUUGAAUCAAAUAAAACAAGUACACGACACACCAAAAACAAAACUACUAUUACAUUGGGUUUUCGUUUUGCAAGAAAGUCACCGAGGUUCACAGUUUCUCAGUGAAUUUAGUCGAGCGGUUUUUUUUGGCUAUUGAUGAUGGUACAUGGCGUGC
Molecule: long non-coding RNA, 273 nt
Organism: Arabidopsis thaliana (thale cress)
Lineage: Eukaryota; Viridiplantae; Streptophyta; Magnoliopsida; Brassicales; Brassicaceae
Product: other RNA
Exons: 1
Source: RefSeq